GUAAUGUCUGGGAAACUGCCUGAUGGAGGGGGAUAACUACUGGAAACGGUAGCUAAUACCGCAUAACGUCGCAAGCACAAAGAGGGGGACCUUAGGGCCUCUUGCCAUCGGAUGUGCCCAGAUGGGAUUAGCUAGUAGGUGGGGUAACGGCUCACCUAGGCGACGAUCCCUAGCUGGUCUGAGAGGAUGACCAGCAACACUGGAACUGAGACACGGUCCAGACUCCUACGGGAGGCAGCAGUGGGGAAUAUUGCACAAUGGGCGCAAGCCUGAUGCAGCCAUGCCGCGUGUAUGAAGAAGGCCUUCGGGUUGUAAAGUACUUUCAGCGGGGAGGAAGGGAGUAAAGUUAAUACCUUUGCUCAUUGACGUUACCCGCAGAAGAAGCACCGGCUAACUCCGUGCCAGCAGCCGCGGUAAUACGGAGGGUGCAAGCGUUACUCGGAAUUACUGGGCGUAAAGCGCACGCAGGCGGUUUGUUAAGUCAGAUGUGAAAUCCCCGGGCUCAACCUGG
This 511-nucleotide ribosomal RNA is filed under the name Escherichia coli. RNAcentral describes it as "bacterial SSU rRNA". It matches the Rfam family "Bacterial small subunit ribosomal RNA", at positions 110 to 617 of the family's 1533-position model. The record is from RNAcentral. Lineage: Bacteria; Pseudomonadati; Pseudomonadota; Gammaproteobacteria; Enterobacterales; Enterobacteriaceae.